Molecule: long non-coding RNA, 3041 nt
Organism: Apis mellifera (honey bee)
Lineage: Eukaryota; Metazoa; Arthropoda; Insecta; Hymenoptera; Apidae
Exons: 2
Source: RefSeq, a predicted model, not a curated record
AAAGAAAUUAAAUAUAAUUAAUUUCGAAUUACUUAAAAAUACGAAAUCUUUUCAGUCAAAUUUGAUUCCAUUCGUAUCUUUUCAUCUUCUGAUUUUCCGAUUUUCUCUUAUAGAUCGAUACAUGAAUUAUAUUGUCCAACGUUCGUCUUAUUUCGUACAUCCCCGUUAAAGUAAAAAUGGGUCCACGAAGCGGUGUAUCAUGAAAUCGUUAAGCGUCGAAUUAUUAAGAUCGGUUGAUUCUGGCGGUGAACUCGACAUCUCUGACGUCCUCCUUUCUAAAUAAGGAACAGCAUCGAUACUAUCACCUACCCUAAGAAAUAGAAAGGGUGAACGAGAAACCAGUUUUCGUCACAGAGACAAAAGCUUAAGAAAUGGAUAUCGUGCUUGCCGUUCCACAAUUAAACUUUUUGAUAAAUUAUUAUCACUGACCCAAUGCACAUCGAUUCCUCGCCUACGAUCAAUACCUCGUCUUCGUUCAAUCUUCAUUCAUUUAUUACUCAUUCCCCCCCUUUUUUUUAAAAUCAUGACUUAAAAACAGCAAGAAAGAUAAAAAUUACUGUUCUAACAAAAAGUUAGUCGAAAUGUGAAAUGUAAACGUUUCAUAUUUAAAAAAAUACGACUGAAUCAAUCUCUCCAUCUAACACUGUAAUGUUAACUUCGAAUUUGGAAGAAAAAUAGAACAGAAAAAUUGCAAGUAAGCAAGCUUAUACACUUAUAUACUUUCUCAAAAUUUGUAUUUGAAUUCGUAUUCAAAUACAAAUGAAUAUAAUUGUGUAUUUGUAAUUGGAAUUGCAAAUUUCCAACAGCGGAAUAUCAUUAUUGCUGACUGAAUAUUCCCCUCCCACGACAUUCUUUCCUUUUUUAUUUUCCUGAAAUGUCAUAUUUACAUUUUCUCUGUAAGCAAUUCGAUUUAGGAGUAAAUAUUGGUGCACCGUAUCGAGAUUCGGUUGUACGACCGGCAUGUGUCCCGCGUUACGUCUGCUGCGCGUGCUUGAGACCGAAAGGGUGACUCAACGGAACGUGCCGGGUGUGAUGUGCCAAAUAUGCAUAGGUUCGUCUGUAUUGGAGAAUCUCGGAUUCUGUUCUCCGAUUGUCUACGGGGAGGGAGGGAGGGAGGGAGGACAUUGCGGGUGCGUGCCACGGAUCGCGUGGCUAUUACACUAUCAAUAGGGUUCGCGUUAGGUGCACGUGGUUUUAUACUGCAACAACCGAUCGUGUUCCCUUAUUCGCCUCUCUCGACACCUCGCAAUCACAAUUUUUUCGAUAUUUUUUUCAAAAGGAGUUUUAACAGUUUUUAAUGGGAUUGUUAGGAGAAAUUAUUAUGUUACUCUCGGGUAAUGUUAAUGGACACGAGUUUCACUUCUAAUUUUAUCGUUCAUUUAUCAUGACAGUCACGCAGUUAAACAGCUAAUCUAUUGAAUACAAUAGUUCAUGAAAUCCUCGAGUAAUGGAUUAGCCAGAUAUAUGUAUAGAAAGGUAAUUUAAUCGGCGAGUAUAGCAUCUAUUCUUGCCACUCAUUCAAUAAUGAAAUUUCAACGAGGCCUUUAACGAGUUUGAGAUUAUAUUUGGAAAUAACACGCGUCGGAUUCAAGCAUACCUAUUACGAUCGUGUCAUGUGACAGGGUGUUCCCCAGUGGAGUGAAUUUUUCCAAACAAAAUCAGUUUUUAAUUAAUGCCAGUCGAGACCAAAGAAGGUGUAGAGACGGAACACGGAUUUGUACGAUUUGAGUGGCGAAUCGAAUCGGGUCAUCGGGUUGACUUGGGCCGGCGAUUGGCCAAGAAACCAGACAGAUUUUCGCGACAGCACUCGUUGACUAUGACUGUGACGGCGACUGCUGCGACGACAGCAACUGUGACGAUAGUGGUGGUGGCGGUGACGGUGGUGGAGCCGACGGCGACGGUGGAGGCGGCGGCGGUGGCAGCCACGACGGCUGUAGCGGUGACAGUGGCGAUGGCGGCGAGAUAGAGAAUCGAAGGAGACAGGAACAGUGAUGAAAGAAAGAGAGAGAGAGAGAGAGAGAGAGAGAGGGUGUUACACACGGAAGAAGGGGUUUAGAGAAUCGCGAGAUGGAAGAAGAGAAAGAGAAGCGAGUAAGAGAGUAAGGUAGUACACAGAGGUGUGGGAUGAACGCGAGACGCGGUAGAAACUCGAGGGACGGAAAGGGGCGAAAAGCGACGAGCGCCGCCGAGACGAGACGAGGCGCGACGAGGAAAGACGAUGAAGGCCGACGGGGGUCGCACACCGCGGCGCUGAACGCAGUGCCAUCCGAUAGGCAGCACCGCUUGCUCCACGGAUCUUCGGCUCGUUCGCUUCGAGCUUCGGUCGUUCGUUGUACGAUCCACGCUCGAUUCCGCUUCCUUUCUUUUUCGUUCGUUCUUGGCGUGGCUGCCGUGGCGUCCAUGCCGAGAAAGGAAAAGCCAGCAUCGACACGCUACACACGGUGGAAAACACGGAGCCGCCGCGAAGACGCGUGCACUGGUCGUGUGUGUCGUUGCCGCGCGUAGUUUUACGUGUACUGCGUAUACGUCUGAUCGUGCUCGUGAACAGAGGUGCCCCCUCCCCUCAUCCCGAACGGCGAACGCGUGGUGGUCAACACGAUAGAUCGUAAUCCUUGCUCGAGGCCGAUAAACGCUUGACGAAGAGAUUCGCAGAAGCGCGGCGAAGCGGGAACACCAGAGGAUGCGAGCAGCGGAGGCGCGUGUACUCGCGGAUGCUCGCCCGGCGAUCGUUCCUGGCAACGAUCGGCACGGCUCGCGAUGAUGGCGGAGCGCGGUCGCGUAGCAGCGAUAUCGUGGUUCGAGUACGCGCGACGCGGAUACCUCGGUAGAAACGUUCGACACACGACGGGAUAAAUGCGAGACCGAAAUCUCGUGGGUGGACCAGUUGUCGCGGCGACGAAGAAGAGGAAGAAGAAAAAGAGGCAGCUGGAAUCGGGUCGAUACGAACGGAGCCCGAUCUGCUGGUGGUGGUUAAGGGCGAGAGCAGGUGUCGUGGAAAGGGGGGACGAUAACGGGACGAGGUUGGAUGUAGAUCAGGAAGA